This 253-nucleotide ribosomal RNA is filed under the name uncultured bacterium. RNAcentral describes it as "partial 16S ribosomal RNA". It matches the Rfam family "Bacterial small subunit ribosomal RNA", at positions 524 to 776 of the family's 1533-position model. The record is from RNAcentral.
UACGAAGGAUGCAAGCGUUAUCCGGAUUCAUUGGGUUUAAAGGGAGCGUAGGUGGCCUUAUAAGUCAGUGGUGAAAUCUCUGGGCUUAACCCAGAAAUUGCCAUUGAUACUGUAGGGCUUGAGUAUAGUUGCCGUUGGCGGAAUAUGACAUGUAGUGGUGAAAUACAUAGAGAUGUCACAGAACACCGAUUGCGAAGGCAGCUGACGAAACUAUAACUGACACUGAGGCUCGAAAGUGCGGGGAUCAAACAGG